Long non-coding RNA from Arabidopsis thaliana (thale cress), 238 nucleotides. RefSeq annotates it as other RNA. The transcript has a single exon. Lineage: Eukaryota; Viridiplantae; Streptophyta; Magnoliopsida; Brassicales; Brassicaceae. The record is from RefSeq.
AUCCCGGUGAGGCUCUCCGGAAACAACUGGUCGCCAUUGCUUCGGAAGCUACAAUCAAGGGUUUGUCUUUCUUGAGUUCCAAGUCUAAACCAUUUGCAAAAGCAGUGCAACAUGCUGCGACUUCAUCACAGAAGGUGAAAGCGGGUUUAAUGAGAAGUUUGUUGUUUAAAAUGCACUGCGGGUUCUCCCACCGCAAGACUUAUGAUGCGAAAGAUGCCAUGGCGCUAUCUCCAACAAC